Molecule: ribosomal RNA, 486 nt
Filed under: uncultured bacterium
Lineage: Bacteria
Description: bacterial SSU rRNA
Rfam family: Bacterial small subunit ribosomal RNA
Source: RNAcentral
CGGGCGUGCUUAACACAUGCAAGUCGAACGAAGACACCUCUCCCGAAGAUUGACACAGCUUGCUGUAGAUUGAUUCAUUUGUAGGUGACUGAGUGGCGGACGGGUGAGUAACGCGUGGGUAACCUGCCUCAUAGAGGGGGACAACAGUUGGAAACGACUGCUAAUACCGCAUAGUAAGAAAGAUUCGCAUGUUUCUUUCUUGAAAGAUUUAUCGCUAUGAGAUGGACCCGCGUCUGAUUAGCUAGUUGGUAAGGUAACGGCUUACCAAGGCGACGAUCAGUAGCCGGCUUGAGAGAGUGAACGGCCACAUUGGGACUGAGACACGGCCCAGACUCCUACGGGAGGCAGCAGUGGGGAAUAUUGCACAAUGGGGGAAACCCUGAUGCAGCGACGCCGCGUGAGUGAAGAAGUAUUUCGGUAUGUAAAGCUCUAUCAGCAGGGAAGAUAAUGACGGUACCUGACUAAGAAGCCCCAGCUAACUACGUG